UUGGAGGGCAAGUCUGGUGCCAGCAGCCGCGGUAAUUCCAGCUCCAAUAGCGUAUAUUAAAGUUGUUGCAGUUAAAAAGCUCGUAGUUGAAUUUCGGGGUCAGUAGGCUGGUCGUGCCACAGGUAUGUACUGGUCUUACUGAUUCCUCCUUCCUGAUGAACCGUAAUGCCAUUAAUUUGGUGUUGCGGGGAAUCUGGACUGUUACUUUGAAAAAAUUAGAGUGUUUAAAGCAGGCUAACGCUUGAAUACAUUAGCAUGGAAUAAUGAAAUAGGACGAUCGAUCCUAUUUUGUUGGUUUCUAGGAUUGACGUAGUGAUUAAUAGGGAUAGUUGGGGGCAUUAGUAUUCAAUUGUCAGAGGUGAAAUUCUUGGAUUUAUUGAAGACUAACUACUGCGAAAGCAUUUGCCAAGGAUGUUUUCAUUAAUCAAGAACGAAAGUUAGGGGAUCGAAGACGAUCAGAUACCGUCGUAGUCUUAACCAUAAACUAUGCCGACUAGGGAUCGGAUGAUGUUAAUUUUUUAAUGACUCAUUCGGCGCCUUACGGGAAA
RNAcentral lists this ribosomal RNA (548 nucleotides) under uncultured Glomeromycotina. Its description in RNAcentral is "SSU rRNA". It matches the Rfam family "Eukaryotic small subunit ribosomal RNA", at positions 548 to 1097 of the family's 1831-position model. Lineage: Eukaryota; Fungi; Glomeromycota. The record is from RNAcentral.